UUGGAUGAUGAUCACAAGACAUGCAAAGGCAUUCCUCAAGCUUAAGUUAUCAUGUGGAAUCUGUCAAAUCAUUAAGUUUCAGCCUUGUCUGACA
RNAcentral lists this small nucleolar RNA (94 nucleotides) under Penicillium steckii. Its description in RNAcentral is "A. fumigatus snoRNA Afu_455". It matches the Rfam family "A. fumigatus snoRNA Afu_455". The record is from Rfam by way of RNAcentral. Lineage: Eukaryota; Fungi; Ascomycota; Eurotiomycetes; Eurotiales; Aspergillaceae.